AGAAACUAACAAGGAUUCCCCUAGUAACUGCGAGUGAAGCGGGAAGAGCUCAAAUUUAAAAUCUGGCGGUCUCUGGCCGUCCGAGUUGUAACCUGGAGGAGGCUUUUCCGUGUCGGACCGUGUACAAGUCUCCUGGAAUGGAGCGUCAUAGAGGGUGAGAAUCCCGUCCAUGACACGGACGCCCGAUGCUUUGUGAUAGUCUCCCGAAGAGUCGCGUUGUUUGGGAAUGCAGCGCAAAAUGGGUGGUAAAUUCCAUCUAAAGCUAAAUAUUGGCGAGAGACCGAUAGCGAACAAGUACCGUGAGGGAAAGAUGAAAAGCACUUUGGAAAGAGAGUUAAACAGUACGUGAAAUUGUUGAAAGGGAAACGCUUGAAGUCAGUCGCGUCCCGGGGAACUCAGCCUGGCCUCGGCCUGGUGUACUUUCCUCGGGACGGGUCAACAUCAGUUUCGGGCGGUGGAUAAAGGCGAGGGGAAUGUAGCGUUGUUUCGGCGACGUGUUAUAGCCCCUCGUUGUAUACACCGUCGGGGACUGAGGACCGCAGCACGCCCUUGUGGCCGGGGGUUCGCCUCACGUACCGUGCUUAGGAUGUUGGCAUAAUGGCUUUAAG
RNAcentral lists this ribosomal RNA (608 nucleotides) under Inocutis dryophila. RNAcentral describes it as "eukaryotic LSU rRNA". It matches the Rfam family "Eukaryotic large subunit ribosomal RNA", at positions 60 to 644 of the family's 3401-position model. Lineage: Eukaryota; Fungi; Basidiomycota; Agaricomycetes; Hymenochaetales; Hymenochaetaceae. The record is from RNAcentral.